AGAGUUUGAUCCUGGCUCAGGAUGAACGCUGGCGGCGUGCUUAACACAUGCAAGUCGAACGAUCCUUCGGGAUAGUGGCGGACGGGUGAGUAACGCGUGGGAAUCUGCCCUCAGGAGGGGGAUAACGGCUGGAAACGGCCGCUAAUACCCCAUAUGCCGAGAGGUGAAAUGAAUUUCGCCUGAGGAUGAGCCCGCGUCUGAUUAGCUAGUUGGUGGGGUAAUGGCCUACCAAGGCAACGAUCAGUAGCUGGUCUGAGAGGAUGAUCAGCCACACUGGGACUGAGACACGGCCCAGACUCCUACGGGAGGCAGCAGUGGGGAAUUUUCCGCAAUGGGCGAAAGCCUGACGGAGCAACGCCGCGUGAGGGAUGAAGGCCUCUGGGCUGUAAACCUCUUUUCUCAAGGAAGAAGACCUGACGGUACUUGAGGAAUAAGCCACGGCUAAUUCCGUGCCAGCAGCCGCGGUAAUACGGGAGUGGCAAGCGUUAUCCGGAAUUAUUGGGCGUAAAGCGUCCGCAGGCUGCCUUGUAAGUCUGUUGUUAAAGCGUGGAGCUCAACUCCAUUUAAGCAAUGGAAACUACAAGGCUGGAGUGUGGUAGGGGCAGAGGGAAUUCCCGGUGUAGCGGUGAAAUGCGUAGAUAUCGGGAAGAACACCAGUGGCGAAGGCGCUCUGCUGGGCCAUAACUGACGCUCAUGGACGAAAGCCAGGGGAGCGAAAGGGAUUAGAUACCCCUGUAGUCCUGGCCGUAAACGAUGAACACUAGGUGUCGGGGGAAUCGACCCCCUCGGUGUCGUAGCCAACGCGUUAAGUGUUCCGCCUGGGGAGUACGCACGCAAGUGUGAAACUCAAAGGAAUAGACGGGGGCCCGCACAAGCGGUGGAGUAUGUGGUUUAAUUCGAUGCAACGCGAAGAACCUUACCAGGGUUUGACAUCCUGCGAACCCCUGAGAAAUCGGGGGGUGCCUUCGGGAGCGCAGAGACAGGUGGUGCAUGGCUGUCGUCAGCUCGUGUCGUGAGAUGUUGGGUUAAGUCCCGCAACGAGCGCAACCCACGUCUUUAGUUGCCAGCAUUCAGUUGGGCACUCUAUAGAGACCGCCGGUGAUAAACCGGAGGAAGGUGUGGAUGACGUCAAGUCAUCAUGCCCCUUACAUCCUGGGCUACACACGUACUACAAUGCUACGGACAAAGGGCAGCAAGCUCGCGAGAGUUAGCAAAUCCCAUAAACCGUGGCUCAGUUCAGAUCGUAGGCUGCAACUCGCCUACGUGAAGGAGGAAUCGCUAGUAAUCGCAGGUCAGCAUACUGCGGUGAAUACGUUCCCGGGCCUUGUACACACCGCCCGUCACACCAUGGAAGUUGGCCAUGCCCGAAGUCGUUACUCCAACCCUUGUGGAGGAGGACGCCGAAGGUGGGGCUGAUGACUGGGGUGAAGUCGGAACAAGGUA
Molecule: ribosomal RNA, 1443 nt
Filed under: metagenome
Description: bacterial SSU rRNA
Rfam family: Bacterial small subunit ribosomal RNA
Source: RNAcentral